This is a long non-coding RNA of Betta splendens (Siamese fighting fish), 1716 nucleotides long. RefSeq lists it as uncharacterized. The record is from RefSeq and is a predicted model, not a curated record. Lineage: Eukaryota; Metazoa; Chordata; Actinopteri; Anabantiformes; Osphronemidae. The transcript is spliced from 2 exons.
GUACAACAGCCACUAGGCUUUAGUUUGGGGGGAACUAAAUUUUUCAAUCAUUGAAGCAUCUGGACCCUUACUAUCCUAAAAAGUAGUGUACACUUUUGAAAGAAAUUAAAAUGAUAUCUAUGGGAGAUCUACAACUCAUAAACGUAAUACUGUCGUUAGUGCAGAUUAAAAAAAUCCUGUAACAUGUUAAAGGGCAUGUAAUAGAUCUAUUAAAAUCAUUUUAGAAGAAAUACAUUUGCUUAAAUUUGAUAUUACAGCUAAUAAUUUUGACUUGCUUUUAUUUUGAAAGGAUUUAGAGGAAGUCUGUUUGCUUAAUUACUAUAUUAAUAGACUUGGUGGACUAGUCUUGGUGGCUCAGUUGAUAGAAUGUUGACCUGGGAAGCGGAAGGUUCCAGAUUCAAGCUCACCAUAGCACCUAGUGUGUCCUUGAGUAAGACUUUCGCACUAGCUCCCCGGGCGCCGCACUGGUAAUCCACUGCUCCUUCAGAGGAUGGGUUAAAAUCCAGAGAAUAAUUACUUCAAUGUGGGAUCAAUAAUAAUAAUAAUAAUAAUAAUAAUAAUAAUAAUAAUAAUAAUAAUAAUAAUAAUAAAGGCUUUAAUGAGCAACAGAUGUGAAUUAUAUGUUUAUGUAAAGCCUGAAAAUUGUCGCCACACUCACUCUUUCAAAAUGCCACUCCUUCUGCCAUUGUCCCAAGUGUCAGAGAGAAUUUUGGAAAAUGUGGAACUCUCUGCACUUUGAGGCAGAUACAGACUAAAACUAAAAUUGGCAUGCUUUAUAUUGGCCUCAGUAAGAUAUGCGCUAAACCCUACUAUGUCAUAUGUGGUGCAUCAACCAGGUGGUCAGUGAAGGGGUGAGAGGUAAAAGAAAGUAUGGCAUUGACGAUUAUGCAAACAAAGCUUCAUGCAGCCAUUAGAUAUACAGGAAACAUUGUUUAAGUGUUAUUCGUUAGUAUUAUAAACUAAUAGAUUUUUUUCGUGGAAAACUAAAAAAGUUAGUAACUAAAAAAAGAAAAAAAAACAAUUUCAUAUAAUUGUCCUGUUUAAUUGAACACAAAAAGCUAAUUCAUUGUUUUUCUCUUUUUGUUCCCAUGGCUUUGUCUGUGGGGAAAUUGUGUUAACUCCCCCUCAACUACCCUGGUUUUUCAUGGUUGGGUGUUUUAAUUCCUGUCCUGGGAUAUUUUUUUUGUCCAACAGUUUUCUUUUACAACAAUGACAACUACUACUACUACUACUACUACACCUACUCUUGUUUUUAUGUAUAUUUUAGUACACAGGCUCUGUCUCCUCCUGUUUGUCAUUUGUAUUGUUAUAUUUGACUAAAUAACGACUGUAAGGACUGAAUUUCAACUGACUUGGCUGCAGUUGCCAAACAGGGGAAGGCACUCUGUGAGGCACCAGACUCUUUCAGCUGAUCGGGGAAGUGCGCCCUGUGAAGCCCUACACUUUUCGCCAAUCAGGGAAGUGCGCCCUGUGAGGUCCCAGACUUUUCGCCUGUCAGGGAAGUGCGCCCUGUAAGGCACCAGACUUAAGAAUCUGUGGAUCAGGGACGUGAGUCCUUGUGAAGCCUUUACAGUUUGAAAUUGUGGAUCGGGGACGUGAGUCCCUGUGAAGCCUUUACAGUUUGAAAUUGUGGAUCGGGGACGUGAGUCCCUGUGAAGCCUUUACAGUUUGAAAUUGUGGAUCGGGGACGUGAGUCCCUGUGAAGCCUUUACAGUU